Long non-coding RNA from Cervus elaphus (red deer), 604 nucleotides. RefSeq lists it as uncharacterized. The record is from RefSeq and is a predicted model, not a curated record. The transcript has 3 exons. Lineage: Eukaryota; Metazoa; Chordata; Mammalia; Artiodactyla; Cervidae.
CCUGCCCCCAACACUACUCCAGCUUCUGCCAGACAGAUGGGACUCUCCAGCAUGAAAAUCUGCGCAACCAUUCCAACAAGUAGGACUGUGCCUGAUGUUGCCCGAAGGAUGCCGAGGAAAAAGACUUCAGGACUGGAAGAGCUCUUACCCAAGAUCGCCCUUGAAGUUAACACAGAGAUAUGGCCCUUUAGGACCAAGCACUCAGCAUUCUUUCGAGACCGAGAUUCCAGAGCAUCAGAUGAACCGACUUAGAGCUAAGGCGUGCUCACCCCCACCCCUUCCUACGCACGCAUCAGCUCGUCCUCACGUGCGUCGGGGUAGUGGACAGUGUUGACUUGAAUUGCUCUCGCUCGCUCCAAGCCUUUCCUGUGAAUGAACCCGAAAACACUCGACAGGUCGUGAAUAAUCGUUUUAAUGAGUGUGCAAAGCGUGCGACGGGGUGCACCGAGCUGUCGGGUUAAACAAACAACUUGUACCCUGACCAAAUCCGAUUGUUAAAGUGCAAAGUGAUGUCAGUACCAUUUCCAUUGCCCUUCAGAAAACCACAGAUCUGACACGCGGGAGUCCAAUUUUCCCCAUUAAAGAAAAAUAACAAUAUUUUCCA